Molecule: ribosomal RNA, 253 nt
Filed under: uncultured bacterium
Lineage: Bacteria
Description: partial 16S ribosomal RNA
Rfam family: Bacterial small subunit ribosomal RNA
Source: RNAcentral
UACGGAGGGUCCAAGCGUUAUCCGGAUUCAUUGGGUUUAAAGGGUGCGCAGGCGGAACUUUAAGUCAGUGGUGAAAUCUUGCCGCUUAACGGUAAAAUUGCCAUUGAUACUGAAGUUCUUGAAUAUGGUUGAGGUAGGCGGAAUGUGUUGUGUAGCGGUGAAAUGCAUAGAUAUGACACAGAACGCCGAUUGCGAAGGCAGCUUACUAAGCCAUGAUUGACGCUGAGGCACGAAAGCGUGGGGAGCGAACAGG